GUGUCAGCAGCCGCGGUAAAACGUAGGUGGCAAGCGUUAUCCGGAUUUACUGGGCGUAAAGCGUGUGCAGGCGGGCGGUCAAGUGGUGUAUGAAAGGGCCUGGCUCAACCGGGCUAUGUUAUGCCAGACUGACCGUCUAGAGGGCGAGAGAGGGGCGUGGAAUUCCGGGUGUAGUGGUGAAAUGCGUAGAGAUCCGGAGGAACCCCAGAGGCGAAGGCGGCGCCCUGGCUCGCACCUGACGCUCAGACACGACAGCAUGGGGAGCGAACGGGAUUAGAAACCCCAGUAGUCC
Molecule: ribosomal RNA, 292 nt
Filed under: uncultured bacterium
Lineage: Bacteria
Description: partial 16S ribosomal RNA
Rfam family: Bacterial small subunit ribosomal RNA
Source: RNAcentral